AGGGAGGUGCGGUUCUUUGUAAAGUGCCUUCGAAGAGUCGAGUUGUUUGGGUAAUGCAUCUCAUAAGUGGGUUGGAUAAAUUCCAUCUAAAGUCAUAAAAAAUAUGGUCGAGAGACCGAUAGCGUAACAAGUACAGUGUAUGGAAAGUAUGUAAAAGUAACUUUGUAAAAGUAGUAGUGAAAAAGUACGUGGAAAUUGUUGAAAGGGAAGGGCAUUUGAUCAGACAUGUGUGUUUUGUUGUCCCUCUGUCGUCCUUGUGGGUAGGGGAAUCUCGUCAUUUCACUGGGCCAGUCAUCAGUUUUUGAAAUGGUCAGUGUAUAAAUCCAUAGGUAAUGUUAGUCUUGUCCUCGGUUAAGGUAUUAUAGUCCGUGUUGGGUAAUACUGUCCUAGUCUGGGUACUGUAGGGGACGUGCGCACAGAUUAAGUUCAAGGGUAGUUCUGGGCCCUAACUUA
This 453-nucleotide ribosomal RNA is filed under the name Saccharomyces cerevisiae (brewer's yeast). Its description in RNAcentral is "LSU rRNA". It matches the Rfam family "Eukaryotic large subunit ribosomal RNA", at positions 228 to 633 of the family's 3401-position model. The record is from RNAcentral. Lineage: Eukaryota; Fungi; Ascomycota; Saccharomycetes; Saccharomycetales; Saccharomycetaceae.